UUCUUUUAGGUAAACAUGCAAAGGAUUGAAGAAGCCAUGCAGCCAAAUUUUACAAAUAGGAUUGCAGCCUACGCUUUCCUCACUCCCUGUGUUGAAGUGAUUUCGUUCUGGUUUCUACCUUUUGUGAGGCAGGUGGAAGGCAAAGCACCAUGGUGACAGUCCAAACAAGGAAACCUAAAGAGUUUGGAUGCCACAGUGCAGCAUGACUACACACCAGGUCCAAAACUCAGAAUCCAGCAGCAGGUUAUGAUGGCAUAUCCAGGCCAUGUCUGGCCCCGUUGUUCAGGACACGCCAAAGAUUCUCACAGGUGGGCUGACUCCAGUGGGUCUGGAAGAUGGAACCUGAGAAGGAUUCAGAAGAAGGAAGCUCUAAACAGUCCCCUGCCAGACUAUCAACAGUAUCUCCACAGGCUGCUGGGCUCAGAGAGAGCCUCCUACUUCCUGCGUCCACCUACCAAGGAGCAGCCAGUAAGCCCUCGGGUGAAGCGCCUGCUGAUGUCUGGUUUAGGUGAGCGUAUGCUG
Molecule: long non-coding RNA, 522 nt
Organism: Lacerta agilis (Sand lizard)
Lineage: Eukaryota; Metazoa; Chordata; Lepidosauria; Squamata; Lacertidae
Exons: 3
Source: RefSeq, a predicted model, not a curated record